AUGUUUUUUAGGACCAGCAGUCCCGUAGAUUCUCAAUGUUUGGUGAGAGACAUGCUUAGAUUGUGCUGUUCCUACAAUGCGAAGCCAGAUAACACUUUGACCAACUUCAGAAAAACUGGUUACGUGGAAAAAACUGUAGACGUACAUAUACAGGCUAUCAUAGAUCCUCAAGAAAGAAGACAUCACUUACUAAAGGAAAACUUGGUGAUAAAAAAUUCAGUUUCCAUCCUAUUCAAUCUUGAGAAUCUCACUGUCUACAAAACUGCUUGUCAGGAAGCAGGAGAGUUUCAGAAUUAG
This 297-nucleotide long non-coding RNA is filed under the name Papio anubis (olive baboon). Its description in RNAcentral is "lncRNA (ENSPANG00000046810.1)". The record is from RNAcentral. Lineage: Eukaryota; Metazoa; Chordata; Mammalia; Primates; Cercopithecidae.